CACACACACAUCUUCUAUCUUUUGGGAUACUCACACACACACGUCUUCUAUCUUUUGGGAUACUCACACACACACGUCUUCUAUCUUUUGGGAUACUCACACACACACACGUCUUCUAUCUUUUGGGAUACUCACACACACACACGCUAUCUUUUGGGAUACUCACACACACACACACGUCUUCUAUCUUUUGGGAUACUCACACACACACACACACACACAUACACGUCUUCUAUCUUUUGGGAUACAGGACAUGCCAGGUAUUGUGAAGAGGAUGAAAGAUUCAGUUUGUUCCACUUGAAGCUUCCAUCCGUCCCAGUUCACGUUUCCCCCGUCCUUCUUCAUAUCAUUUGUCCAUAGGUAGGGUGAAACAAAUUU
This 378-nucleotide long non-coding RNA is filed under the name Callithrix jacchus (white-tufted-ear marmoset). Its description in RNAcentral is "lncRNA (ENSCJAG00000072001.1)". Lineage: Eukaryota; Metazoa; Chordata; Mammalia; Primates; Cebidae. The record is from RNAcentral.